GCCAGUGUGGUGUAGUGCUUUGACCAUUGGACUACAAUUCUGGAGACCCGGGUUCAAUUCCCAGCUUGGUCA
Non-coding RNA from Phrynosoma platyrhinos (Desert horned lizard), 72 nucleotides. NCBI's taxonomy places the organism in Eukaryota, Metazoa, Chordata, Lepidosauria, Squamata, Phrynosomatidae. The record is from the annotation of a GenBank genome assembly.